Molecule: ribosomal RNA, 139 nt
Filed under: Cordyceps fumosorosea
Lineage: Eukaryota; Fungi; Ascomycota; Sordariomycetes; Hypocreales; Cordycipitaceae
Description: partial 28S ribosomal RNA
Source: RNAcentral
CAUACCGCCGGCCCCGAAAUACAGUGGCGGCCCGUCCGCGGCGACCUCUGCGUAGUACUCCAACGCGCACCGGGAACCCGACGCGGCCACGCCGUAAAACACCCAACUUCUGAACGUUGACCUCGGAUCAGGUAGGAAU